UACAGAGGGGGCAAGCGUUGUUCGGAAUUACUGGGCGUAAAGGGCUCGUAGGCGGCCAACUAAGUCAGACGUGAAAUCCCUCAGCUUAACUGGGGAACUGCGUCUGAUACUGGAUGGCUUGGAUCCGGGAGAGGGAUGCGGAAUUCCAGGUGUAGCGGUGAAAUGCGUAGAUAUCUGGAGGAACACCGGUGGCGAAGGCAGCCCCCUGGGUUAACACUGACGCUCAUGCACGAAAGCGUGGGGAGCAAACAGG
This 253-nucleotide ribosomal RNA is filed under the name uncultured bacterium. Its description in RNAcentral is "partial 16S ribosomal RNA". It matches the Rfam family "Bacterial small subunit ribosomal RNA", at positions 524 to 776 of the family's 1533-position model. The record is from RNAcentral.